This 72-nucleotide transfer RNA is filed under the name Camelus bactrianus (Bactrian camel). It matches the Rfam family "tRNA". From Rfam's summary of the family: Transfer RNA (tRNA) molecules are approximately 80 nucleotides in length. Their secondary structure includes four short double-helical elements and three loops (D, anti-codon, and T loops). The record is from Rfam by way of RNAcentral. RNAcentral also lists the same sequence under 3 other names. Lineage: Eukaryota; Metazoa; Chordata; Mammalia; Artiodactyla; Camelidae.
GAGGGUGUAGCUCAGUGGUAGAGCACGUGCUUAGCAUGCCUGUUGUCCUGGAUUCAAUCCCCAGCACCUCUG